Molecule: microRNA precursor, 60 nt
Organism: Esox lucius (northern pike)
Lineage: Eukaryota; Metazoa; Chordata; Actinopteri; Esociformes; Esocidae
Source: Ensembl
GGCAGCUUUGAAUGAUGUUACUUCUUAUUACUUAAAGAAGACAUCAGAUAAAUCUGUGCU